UACGUAGGGUGCGAGCGUUGUCCGGAAUUAUUGGGCGUAAAGAGCUCGUAGGCGGUCUGUCGCGUCUGCUGUGAAAUCCCGAGGCUCAACCUCGGGCUUGCAGUGGGUACGGGCAGGCUAGAGUGCGGUAGGGGAGAAUGGAACUCCUGGUGUAGCGGUGGAAUGCGCAGAUAUCAGGAAGAACACCGAUGGCGAAGGCAGUUCCUCGUCGGGCCGA
This 217-nucleotide ribosomal RNA is filed under the name uncultured bacterium. RNAcentral describes it as "partial 16S ribosomal RNA". It matches the Rfam family "Bacterial small subunit ribosomal RNA", at positions 524 to 737 of the family's 1533-position model. The record is from RNAcentral.